GGCUCCUCGUACUUAAUAAAUAAGGAGUCGAGCCUGCCCAGUGAAUUUUUUUAACGGCCGCGGUACCCUGACCGUGCAAAGGUAGCAUAAUCAUUUGCCUUAUAAUUGAAGGCUCGUAUGAAUGGUUUGACAAGAAUAAAACUGUCUCUAUAUAAUUAAAUAGAAUUUUAUUUAUAGGUGAAAAAGCCUAUAUUAUAUUGAAAGACAAGAAGACCCUAUCGAGCUUUAAAAAAAUUAAUAAAAACUAAAAAAUAUUUUAUAUAUAAAGUCUUUUUAUUAAACAUUUUAGUUGGGGCGACUGAGGAACAUGUAAAGCUUCCUUUAAAAUUAUAUUUAUUAACAUAUUUAGAGCCAAAAUAUUUGAUUAAAGAAAAUAGUUACCGUAGGGAUAACAGCAUUAUCUUCUUUGAGAGUUCUUAUCGAAAAGAAGGUUUGUGACCUCGAUGUUGGACCAGAAUGUCCCGAAGAUGUAGCCGUCUUCAAAGGUUGGUCUGUUCGACCAUUAAAAUUCUACGUGAUCUGAGUUCAGACCGGCGUAAGCCAGGUCAGUUUCUAUCUUCAAUUUAUUUAAUAAAUUUAGUACGAAAGGACCAGUUUAUUGUAAUAUAUUUGCUAAAAUUGAGAAAGUAUAAGUAUAAAUUAAAUUUUUGUAAAAUACAUAAUCAAAUUAGCAAAAAUAAUGUAAUUGACUUAGGAUCAAUAGAUAUAGGUGAAAGUCCUUUAUUUGAUAAUUAAAUAUAAUAAAGAUGGCAGAAUUGA
This 759-nucleotide ribosomal RNA is filed under the name Vitularia miliaris. Its description in RNAcentral is "partial 16S ribosomal RNA". The stretch from base 1 to 584 matches the Rfam family "Bacterial large subunit ribosomal RNA", at positions 1817 to 2925 of the family's 2925-position model. Lineage: Eukaryota; Metazoa; Mollusca; Gastropoda; Neogastropoda; Muricidae. The record is from RNAcentral.